GAUGAACGCUGGCGGCGUGCCUAAUACAUGCAAGUCGAGCGAACGGACGAGAAGCUUGCUUCUCUGAUGUUAGCGGCGGACGGGUGAGUAACACGUGGAUAACCUACCUAUAAGACUGGGAUAACUUCGGGAAACCGGAGCUAAUACCGGAUGAUAUUUUGAACCGCAUGGUUCAAAAGUGAAAGACGGUCUUGCUGUCACUUAUAGAUGGAUCCGCGCUGCAUUAGCUAGUUGGUAAGGUAACGGCUUACCAAGGCAACGAUGCAUAGCCGACCUGAGAGGGUGAUCGGCCACACUGGAACUGAGACACGGUCCAGACUCCUACGGGAGGCAGCAGUAGGGAAUCUUACGCAGUGGGCGAAAGCCUGACGGAGCAACGCCGCGUGAGUGAUGAAGGUCUUCGGAUCGUAAAACUCUGUUAUUAGGGAAGAACAUAUGUGUAAGUAACUGUGCACAUCUUGACGGUACCUAAUCAGAAAGCCACGGCUAACUACGUG
This 497-nucleotide ribosomal RNA is filed under the name uncultured bacterium. RNAcentral's name for it is "partial 16S ribosomal RNA". It matches the Rfam family "Bacterial small subunit ribosomal RNA", at positions 28 to 507 of the family's 1533-position model. The record is from RNAcentral.